This 73-nucleotide transfer RNA is filed under the name Culex quinquefasciatus (southern house mosquito). It matches the Rfam family "tRNA". Rfam says of the family: Transfer RNA (tRNA) molecules are approximately 80 nucleotides in length. The record is from Rfam by way of RNAcentral. Lineage: Eukaryota; Metazoa; Arthropoda; Insecta; Diptera; Culicidae.
GCAGCCGUGGCUGACUGGUUACGGCGUUCGCUUUGAAAGCGAAUGGUUCUGGUUUCGAAUUCCAUCUGCUCCC